AUAGGUCACCGUCAUCGCCUCUCCGUGGCGUACCAUCAUCGCCGGUCGGGACUCAUGUAGAGGAACAACACCUCCUUUACAAUCCUAAACAAACUUCCGGGAUGUCACCGCUUCAAAAACCCAGUAUUAGUGGCUUUGGUUUGGGCCACACUACCCCAACAUGCCCCUCUUCCUGUCGAAAUUUGUCGAGGAGUUGCAGUCGAUGACGGUAGAGUGGACACACAAUCAAGAAGUGAUCACAUCGAGUGUGUACGCAACAUGCUGUUGUGUGGACAGUCCUGCACGUGCUGCCGUUAAAACACUGUGCUCUUCAAUGGAUAUUUCGGUUGUCCAUGGUGCUUUGCACCAGGUGGUCAUGACGGCAAUCUGGUAUUCCAUUUACACUUCGAAUUUGAAGGCACCAUUCGCUAUGCAUACCGGCAAAAUGAAGAAGAGAGGACAUCAGAUCUUGUUGCCGGGGAUAUGCGUUUAACCCUUGAAUGUGACUGUGUUGUGAAUGGCAUCAAGGGACCAGCACCUGUUAUGACCUUGGAGAACUUUGACCUUGUCUGGAGCUUCAGCGUAGAGUACAUGCAUGCUGUGCUCCUCGGGGUGACCCGACAGAUGACAGAGUGCUGGCUUGACAGUACAAACUCAGAGGAGCGGCACUACAUAGGGUGCCCAGCUACACUGUCCCAGGUUGACCACCGCCUUCGAAGCAUAAAGCCACCAGAGUGUGUCACCCGCCUUGCUCGUUCACUUAGAGACAGAAGGUUUUGGAAGGCCAGUGAAUGGCGCAUGUGGCUACUGUACUAUAGCCUGCCUUGCUUACGCGGUAUUAUUCUGCAUGUGUACUGGGCCCACUUCAGAAACCUCGUGGAGGCCGUAUACAUAUUACUGUCAUGUGACCUCACUGAUGCACUACUUCGUCGUUCUGGUAGAUAACAUUUCAUAACUUUAUAGGAGCUUUUACAUUAAACACUUGGU
Long non-coding RNA from Ornithodoros turicata, 966 nucleotides. RefSeq lists it as uncharacterized. Lineage: Eukaryota; Metazoa; Arthropoda; Arachnida; Ixodida; Argasidae. The record is from RefSeq and is a predicted model, not a curated record. The transcript is spliced from 3 exons.